Molecule: ribosomal RNA, 1028 nt
Filed under: Isochrysis galbana
Lineage: Eukaryota; Haptophyta; Isochrysidales; Isochrysidaceae
Description: partial Bacterial small subunit ribosomal RNA
Rfam family: Bacterial small subunit ribosomal RNA
Source: RNAcentral
AGAGUUUGAUCCUGGCUCAGAUUGAACGCUGGCGGCAUGGCUAAAGCAUGCAAGUCUGGGAGAACCUUCGGGGGACACCGGCGAAAGGGCGAGUAAUGCGAUCGAACGUACCCCAAUGUGGGGGAUAGCGUCGGGAAACUGGCGGUAAUACCCCAUGUGCUCUACGGAGGAAGUUGGGAGCGGCGAUCGUCCUAUCAGGUUGUUGGUGAGGUAACGGCUCACCAAGCCGAAGACGGGUAGCGGGUGUGAGAGCAUGACCCGCCGCAUCGGGACUGAGACACUGCCCGGACUCCUACGGGAGGCUGCAGUAACGAAUAUUCCGCAAUGCGCGAAAGCGUGACGGAGCAAUGCCGCGUGCAGGAUGAAGCCCCUCGGGGUGUAAACUGCUGUCAGGGUUUAGGAACACAAUGACCAAACCCAAAGGAAGGACCGGCUAACUCUGUGCCAGCAGCCGCGGUAAUACAGAGGGUCCAAGCGUUGAUCGGAAUCACUGGGCUUAAAGGGUUCGCAGGCGGAUCUGUAAGUAUGUUGUGAAAUCCCACGGCUCAACCGUGGAAUUGCUUCGUAGACUGCAGAUCUUGAGCACGACAGGGGCCAUCAGAACGAUAGGUGGAGCGGUGAAAUGCGUAGAUAUCUAUCGGAAUGCCAAAGGUGAAGACAGAUGGCUGGGUCGUCGCUGACGCUCAGGAACGAAAGCAUGGGUAGCGAACGGGAUUAGAUACCCCGGUAGUCCAUGCCCUAAACGAUGUGUACUAGUUCGAGGAGGUUUUAACGCCAUCUCGGACGAAGCUAAAGUAUUAAGUACACCGCCUGGGGAGUACGGUCGCAAGGCUAAAACUCAAAGGAAUUGACGGGGGCCCGCACAAGCGGAGGAGUAUGUGGUUUAAUUCGAUGAUACGCGAGGAACCUUACCAGGGCUUAAAUGCAGAACGAAUAUAUUGGAAACAGUAUAGCCUUCGGGCGGACUGCAAGGUGCUGCAUGGCUGUCGUCAGCUCGUGUCGUGAGAUGUUGGGUUAAGUCCCGCAAC